CAACCGGGAUUGCCUUAGUAACGGCGAGUGAAGCGGCAAAAGCUCAAAUUUGAAAUCUGGCGUCUUCGACGUCCGAGUUGUAAUUUGAAGAAGGCGACUUUGUAGCUGGUCCUUGUCUAUGUUCCUUGGAACAGGACGUCAUAGAGGGUGAGAAUCCCGUGUGGCGAGGAUCCCAGUUAUUUGUAAAGUGCUUUCGACGAGUCGAGUUGUUUGGGAAUGCAGCUCUAAGUGGGUGGUAAAUUCCAUCUAAAGCUAAAUAUUGGCGAGAGACCGAUAGCGAACAAGUACAGUGAUGGAAAGAUGAAAAGAACUUUGAAAAGAGAGUGAAAAAGUACGUGAAAUUGUUGAAAGGGAAGGGCAUUUGAUCAGACAUGGCGUUUGCUUCGGCUUUCGCUGGGCCAGCAUCAGUUUUAGCGGUUGGAUAAAUCCUCGGGAAUGUGGCUCUGCUUCGGUAGAGUGUUAUAGCCCGUGGGAAUACAGCCAGCUGGGACUGAGGAUUGCGACUUUUGUCAAGGAUGCUGGCGUAAUGGUUAAAUGCCGCCCGUCUUGAAACACGGACCUCCUGUGUGAAGUG
RNAcentral lists this ribosomal RNA (574 nucleotides) under Kluyveromyces marxianus. RNAcentral describes it as "eukaryotic LSU rRNA". It matches the Rfam family "Eukaryotic large subunit ribosomal RNA", at positions 66 to 664 of the family's 3401-position model. The record is from RNAcentral. Lineage: Eukaryota; Fungi; Ascomycota; Saccharomycetes; Saccharomycetales; Saccharomycetaceae.